This 255-nucleotide ribosomal RNA is filed under the name uncultured bacterium. RNAcentral's name for it is "partial 16S ribosomal RNA". It matches the Rfam family "Bacterial small subunit ribosomal RNA", at positions 524 to 776 of the family's 1533-position model. The record is from RNAcentral.
UACGGGGGGAGCAAGCGUUGUUCGGAUUUACUGGGCGUAAAGGGCGCGUAGGCGGCCACCGCAAGUCGACUGUGAAAUCUCCGGGCUUAACCCGGAAAGGUCAGCCGAUACUGCGGGGCUAGAGUGCAGAAGGGGCAACUGGAAUUCUCGGUGUAGCGGUGAAAUGCGUAGAUAUCGAGAGGAACACCUGCGGCGAAGGCGGGUUGCUGGGCUGACACUGACGCUGAGGCGCGAAAGCUAGGGGGAGCGAACGGG